UCCUCAGUAGCUCAGUGGUAGAGCGAUCGGCUGUUAACCGAUUGGUCGCAGGUUCGAAUCCUGCCUGGGGAG
RNAcentral lists this transfer RNA (72 nucleotides) under Tolypothrix bouteillei VB521301. It matches the Rfam family "tRNA". From Rfam's summary of the family: Transfer RNA (tRNA) molecules are approximately 80 nucleotides in length. Their secondary structure includes four short double-helical elements and three loops (D, anti-codon, and T loops). The record is from Rfam by way of RNAcentral. RNAcentral also lists the same sequence under 9 other names. Lineage: Bacteria; Bacillati; Cyanobacteriota; Cyanophyceae; Nostocales; Tolypothrichaceae.